AUUACAAAUUUGUUAUUUGAUUUACAUAUCUCCUUCGUUUUGGAUUACUCGCAGCAUUAAGCUAGACACAUAAUUGAUGAAAAAAACAAGGUAAAGGCUAAGUGAGGGUUAUACACGGAUGAAAAAUAAAAGUGUUGCAAUUAAUCAGAAACAGAAGGAGUAUUCCGUUUAUCAGAGAAUAAACCGGGCUUGCUCCCAUUACUAGUGAAGAGAGAGAGAGAGAGAAAAAAAAAAAAACUAAUUUUAGCACCAUUUCCAUUUGCAAAUAACAUUGUCCAAAGAAAUUGAAAUCAAUUUUCCCGCAAAUUGUGAUAAGCCGAUUUAAGUUGGUUAUUAUUUCGCACUUAAUUUUCACACAACCAGUAACUCAGACACCCCUCUUUCUCUAUCUCUGCGAAUCAUUCAGAAAUCGGAAAACCUAAAAGCGGCGCCGAAUUACUCGCCGGAAACCUAAAUGCAUUCUUUCCGGCAAAUCAACUUUACUUUGAGACAAAUGCCUCUUCGUAUCAGAUUUAAAUUAACCAAGAGCUAAUAACCAGUGCAGAUAUUUAUACAUAAAGGGUCAAAGAUCUUGACUUUUCUUGUCACAUUAAGUGGUGGGCCGCCUUAUUGUUUUAAUAAAGGUAUGAAGAAUUAUCAAGCGAGAAUUCUUCAAGAUGAUGCAAAUGAAAUGAAAACUGAUGCAGCCUGCCAGAAUCCAAAAAAAAAAAAAAACAGACAAACAAAUCAAACAAGGCUAAAGGUGAUGCAAAUCCUAUGCAAUAACAACUAGGUAUCAGGUAGUGAAGCAAGAAAUUGAAGUAAAUGUGUCUGGAGUUGCCAGCUUACUUAGCUCAGAUUGCGCUAGCCGAAGGUAGAGAUCAACCCCGCCAGGGGAAAGGUCUGCGACAUCAAUUAAGUUUCCACUCCAUGUCAA
Long non-coding RNA from Chenopodium quinoa (quinoa), 916 nucleotides. RefSeq lists it as uncharacterized. The record is from RefSeq and is a predicted model, not a curated record. The transcript is spliced from 4 exons. NCBI's taxonomy places the organism in Eukaryota, Viridiplantae, Streptophyta, Magnoliopsida, Caryophyllales, Amaranthaceae.